Molecule: ribosomal RNA, 253 nt
Filed under: uncultured bacterium
Lineage: Bacteria
Description: partial 16S ribosomal RNA
Rfam family: Bacterial small subunit ribosomal RNA
Source: RNAcentral
UACGUAGGGGGCUAGCGUUGUCCGGAAUCAUUGGGCGUAAAGCGCGUGUAGGCGGUCCGGUAAGUCCGCUGUGAAAGUCGGGGGGCUCAACCCUCGGAUGCCGGUGGAUACUGUCGGGCUUGAGUACGGAAGAGGCGAGUGGAAUCCUGGUGUAGCGGUGAAAUGCGCAGAUAUCAGGAGGAACACCAAUUGCGAAGGCAGCUCGCUGGGACGUACUGACGCUGAGACGCGAAAGCGUGGGGGAGCAAACAGG